Molecule: long non-coding RNA, 417 nt
Organism: Melanaphis sacchari
Lineage: Eukaryota; Metazoa; Arthropoda; Insecta; Hemiptera; Aphididae
Exons: 3
Source: RefSeq, a predicted model, not a curated record
GCUAUCUAUUAUUUGAUAAGCGUACGGCGGACCGUGGCUUAAGUCAUGCAGUGGACAUUUUGUACUGUGAUUUUAACUGAUAAUUGAUAAAAAAAAAGAAGAUAUUAGAUUAUUCAAAACUUUAGUUUAACCACUUUAACCGACAAAAUAUUCUGUGCUUUAACCGUGCGCUGUCACCACUCACCAAUAUCACGAUCUAUUGUUAAUCGCAAUUCGCAAUAGCCAUAGCUUGUUGAUAUUUGAGAGUAUGUACUAUGUAUUAACGCUGAAGUAAUACUGGCUAGAACCACUUCAAGAUGCAAGUCAUUCAAAAUCAAAAUAUUCUAAAAAAUUAAAAAUUAUUGGAAUUGAUCUAUAUGGUUGUAAGAAUUGUCUUUGAGCUGCCAAUGCAAGUGAAUGAAUAUAAAACCAAUAAGA